CUGGCCUUUAAAAACGGCAUGUGCACGCUCCUUUCACUAAUCCACACACACCUGUGCACCUUCGCGGGGGUCUCUUCGUUAACUCGAAGAGGCUCGCGUCCCUUUACACACCCUUUGUAUGUCUUAAGAAUGUCUACUCGAUGUAAUAAAACGCAUCUAAUACAACUUUCAACAACGGAUCUCUUGGCUCUCGCAUCGAUGAAGAACGCAGCGAAAUGCGAUAAGUAAUGUGAAUUGCAGAAUUCAGUGAAUCAUCGAAUCUUUGAACGCACCUUGCGCCCUUUGGUAUUCCGAAGGGCACACCUGUUUGAGUGUCGUGAAAUUCUCAACCCUCUUCACUUUUGUGAACGUAGUGGAUUGGACUUGGAGGCUUUGCCGGGCUUCACCGCUCGGCUCCUCUCAAAUGCAUUAGUGCGUCUUGUUGCGACGUGCGCCUCGGUGUGAUAAUUAUCUACGCUGUGGUGUGCUUGCUUCUGUGGAGACGCGCUUUCUAACCGUCCGAAAGGACAGCUUUCAUCGAACUUUGACCUCAAAUCAGGUGGGACUACCCGCUGAACUUAAGCAUAUCAAUAAGCGGAGGA
RNAcentral lists this ribosomal RNA (581 nucleotides) under Xylobolus annosus. RNAcentral's name for it is "eukaryotic LSU rRNA". The stretch from base 164 to 317 matches the Rfam family "5.8S ribosomal RNA". Lineage: Eukaryota; Fungi; Basidiomycota; Agaricomycetes; Russulales; Stereaceae. The record is from RNAcentral.